CUAGUCGCACGAGUUCAGACUCGUGGCGGAAAGCUCAGUAACACGUGGCCAAACUGCCCUAUAGACCACCAUAACCUCGGGAAACUGAGGCUAAUGAUGGAUAUGAUUCUCACUCUGGAGUGAGGAGAAUCAGAAACGCUCCGGCGCUAUAGGAUGUGGCUGCGGCCGAUUAGGUAGACGGUGGGGUAACGGCCCACCGUGCCGAUAAUCGGUACGGGUUGUGAGAGCAAGAGCCCGGAGACGGAAUCUGAGACAAGAUUCCGGGCCCUACGGGGCGCAGCAGGCGCGAAAACUUUACACUGCACGACAGUGCGAUAAGGGGACUCCGAGUGCGAGGGCAUAUAGUCCUCGCUUUUCUGUACCGUAGGGUGGUACAGGAAUAAGGGCUGGGCAAGACCGGUGCCAGCCGCCGCGGUAAUACCGGCAGCCCGAGUGAUGGCCGCUAUUAUUGGGCCUAAAGCGUCCGUAGCCAGCCAGACAGGUCCGUCGGGAAAUCCACGCGCUCAACGCGUGGGCGUCCGGCGGAAACCAGCUGGCUUGGGGCCGGAAGACUCGAGGGGUACGUCCGGGGUAGGAGUGAAAUCCCGUAAUCCUGGACGGACCACCGGUGGCGAAAGCGCCUCGAGAAGACGGACCCGACGGUGAGGGACGAAAGCUAGGGUCACGAACCGGAUUAGAUACCCGGGUAGUCCUAGCUGUAAACGAUGCUCGCUAGGUGUGGCGCUGGCUACGAGCCAGCGCUGUGCCGUAGGGAAGCCGAGAAGCGAGCCGCCUGGGAAGUACGUCCGCAAGGAUGAAACUUAAAGGAAUUGGCGGGGGAGCACUACAACCGGAGGAGCCUGCGGUUUAAUUGGAUUCAACGCCGGGAU
Molecule: ribosomal RNA, 869 nt
Filed under: uncultured Halorussus sp.
Lineage: Archaea; Methanobacteriati; Methanobacteriota; Halobacteria; Halobacteriales; Haladaptataceae
Description: bacterial SSU rRNA
Rfam family: Archaeal small subunit ribosomal RNA
Source: RNAcentral